Molecule: transfer RNA, 66 nt
Filed under: Schmidtea mediterranea
Lineage: Eukaryota; Metazoa; Platyhelminthes; Tricladida; Dugesiidae
Description: tRNA-His
Source: RNAcentral
GUUAAGAUAGUUUAUUCAGAAUGUUAAUUUGUGGAGUUAAUGGUAAAAGACUUGUUUUUCUUAAUA